RNAcentral lists this ribosomal RNA (468 nucleotides) under uncultured bacterium. RNAcentral describes it as "bacterial SSU rRNA". It matches the Rfam family "Bacterial small subunit ribosomal RNA", at positions 28 to 507 of the family's 1533-position model. The record is from RNAcentral.
GAUAAACGCUGGCGGCGCACAUAAGACAUGCAAGUCGAACGGACUUAACCAUUAGUUUACUAUUGGAGCGGUUAGUGGCGGACUGGUGAGUAACACGUAAGCAACCUGCCUCAUACAGGGGGAUAACAGUUAGAAAUGACUGCUAAUACCGCAUAAGCGCACAGUAUCGCAUGAUACAGUGUGAAAAACUCCGGUGGUAUGAGAUGGACCCGCGUCUGAUUAGCUAGUUGGUAAGGUAACGGCUUACCAAGGCGACGAUCAGUAGCCGGACUGAGAGGUUGAACGGCCACAUUGGGACUGAGAUACGGCCCAGACUCCUACGGGAGGCAGCAGUCGGGAAUAUUGCGCAAUGGAGGAAACUCUGACGCAGUGACGCCGCGUAUAGGAAGAAGUUUUCGGAAUGUAAACUAUUGUCGUUAGGGAAGAGAAAGGACGGUACCUAAGGAGGAAGCCCCGGCUAACUAUGUG